GGAUAUUUUUGUCAUUUGUUAGUAGAGAUGAUGCUGCUUGUCCUGAUGAUAUUUUCUCUUUUUAAAGAGAAUGCUGCUGCAGAUUUAAUAACAUCGUUAUUCACAGAGAAACAUGUUUUUGAAGGAGAUGAUGUGACUCUGUCCUGUAACUACAGUGGCUAUGUACAAAAUUUACAGUGGUACCGUCAAUAUACCGGAUCCAAACCUGAGAAUUUCAUUCUUCACACUGAGACCAAUAGUUGGUCAGAGCCCAAGCUUCGUCUGUAUGCCAUUGCUGAUAAAGCAGUCAAACGUAUGAAUCUGAGCAUCUCUACAACACAAACAGAGGAUUCAGCUGUGUAUUACUGUGCCCUGAGGCCCACAGUGACAUGAAACACAAACACACUGUACAAAAACCUGACAGCAGCAAACAUCGGUAUAAAGAAACAUGUUUGCAGAGAAGAAAUGUAUGUGGGAGACGUUUAGUGUUAGUAAAGCCCAGAAGAUAUGAGAUACUGAAUAAAGACGUCUCAACAAAACAAUGCUGCUCAUCUUUUUUGUUUGAAUAUUUACCUUCAGCUACUGUGAAGCUAAUAAGAAUCUUAUCAAACCAGACGAAACAUCCGUGUCUAUAACUGAAGGAAACAACAUCACACUGUCCUGUACAUAUGAAGGAUCAGCUUACUGUCUCCACUGGUACCGAC
This is a non-coding RNA of Paramisgurnus dabryanus, 683 nucleotides long. The record is from RefSeq and is a predicted model, not a curated record. Lineage: Eukaryota; Metazoa; Chordata; Actinopteri; Cypriniformes; Cobitidae.